Molecule: ribosomal RNA, 448 nt
Filed under: uncultured bacterium
Lineage: Bacteria
Description: partial 16S ribosomal RNA
Rfam family: Bacterial small subunit ribosomal RNA
Source: RNAcentral
AACGAACGCUGGCGGCAGGCCUAAUACAUGCAAGUCGAACGAACCGUUUACGGUGAGUGGCGCACGGGUGCGUAACGCGUGGGAACGUACCCCAGGGAGCGGAAUAACGUAGGGAAACUUACGCUAAUACUGCAUAAUGACUUCGGUCCAAAGAUUAUCGCCCUGGGAUCGGCCCGCGUCUGAUUAGGUAGUUGGUGAGGUAACGGCUCACCAAGCCGACGAUCAGUAGCUGGUCUGAGAGGAUGAUCAGCCACACUGGGACUGAGACACGGCCCAGAGUCCGACGGGAGGCAGCAGUAAGGAAUAUUGGACAAUGGGCGAAAGCCUGAUCCAGCCAUGCCGCGUGAGUGAAGAAGGCCUUAGGGUUGUAAAGCUCUUUUAGUAGUGAAGAUAAUGACGGUAGCUACAGAAAAAGCCCCGGCUAAAUUCGUGCCAGCCGCCGCAGUAA